AGUUUUAUUCUUGCUUAGAAAUUUAUUAGUUUGGAUGAUUUACAUGUAAAUUUUUGUGAUAGUUUAUUUUUCUUAAGGGUGAAUAAGUUAUUGGGAAUGCAGUAUUUUAUUUUAGUUAUCAUGGAAAUUUGGAAUUAGUAAUUUAAAUAUGAUUGGUAAAAGUCGUGCCAGCUACCGCGGUUAUACGUAGGAUAAAAGUAAAUUAUAUUAGUUAAGAGUUAAUUUUAUUAUUAAUAAAGUAAUUAUUUGUUUAGUAGGUUGAAUUAUUAAACUUUUUGUAUUUUAAAUUAAUUUAGAUGAGGCUUUGAAGAUUAUUUAUUAAACUAGGAUUAGAUACCCUAUUAUUAUAAUUGUAAAAGGGAAUACUUGGGUAGUAGUAGUUGUGUUCUUGAAACCCAAAGAAUUUGGCGGUGUUUCAGUCUGUCCAGAGGAAUCUGUCCUAUAAUUGAUGAUACACAUUAUAUUAAACUUAAUUUUGUAAGUUCAGUUUGUAUACCGCCGUUAUCAGAUUAUCUUUUUAGGGUAAUUUUCUUUAUAUUAUAAGAUAAUAUUUCAGGUCAAGGUGCAGCUUAUAGUUAAGGAUGAGAUGGAUUACAAUAAAUUUAUUUAAAUGGAUUUUUUGUUGAAAAGUGAAGAUGAAGGUGGAUUUGGAGGUAAAUUUAUUAAAUUAUGAUAAAUUGAUUAGAGCUCUGAAACAUGUACACAUCGCCCGUCACUCUCAUAUAAAGUGAGAUAAGUCGUAACAGAGUAGUCGUACUGGAAAGUGUGGCUAGAAUG
Molecule: non-coding RNA, 777 nt
Filed under: Deflorita sp. ZJZ-2017
Lineage: Eukaryota; Metazoa; Arthropoda; Insecta; Orthoptera; Tettigoniidae
Description: 12S ribosomal RNA
Rfam family: Microsporidia small subunit ribosomal RNA (bases 369-772)
Source: RNAcentral